CCUACUUAACUCAGUGGUUGGAGUAUCGCUUUCAUACGGCGAGAGUCAUUGGUUCAAAUCCAAUAGUAGGUAAUAU
RNAcentral lists this transfer RNA (76 nucleotides) under Haplomitrium blumei. Its description in RNAcentral is "tRNA-Met". It matches the Rfam family "tRNA". Rfam says of the family: Transfer RNA (tRNA) molecules are approximately 80 nucleotides in length. Their secondary structure includes four short double-helical elements and three loops (D, anti-codon, and T loops). Lineage: Eukaryota; Viridiplantae; Streptophyta; Haplomitriopsida; Calobryales; Haplomitriaceae. The record is from RNAcentral.